RNAcentral lists this ribosomal RNA (390 nucleotides) under uncultured bacterium. Its description in RNAcentral is "bacterial SSU rRNA". It matches the Rfam family "Bacterial small subunit ribosomal RNA", at positions 28 to 417 of the family's 1533-position model. The record is from RNAcentral.
GACGAACGCUGGCGGCGUGCUUAACACAUGCAAGUCGAGCGGUAAGGCCCUUUCGGGGGUACGACGAGCGGCGAACGGGUGAGUAACACGUGGGUGACCUGCCCUCAGCUCUGGGAUAAGCCUGGGAAACCGGGUCUAAUACUGGAUAUGACUCCAUGACGCAUGUUGUGGGGUGGAAAGCCUUGUGCGGCUGAGGAUGGGCCCGCGGCCUAUCAGCUUGUUGGUGGGGUGANGGCCUACCAAGGCGACGACGGGUAGCCGGCCUGAGAGGGCCGACCGGCCACACUGGGACUGAGACACGGCCCAGACUCCUACGGGAGGCAGCAGUGGGGAAUCUUGCGCAAUGGGCGAAAGCCUGACGCAGCGACGCCGCGUGAGGGAUGACGGCCU